UACAGAGGUCUCAAGCGUUGUUCGGAUUCAUUGGGCGUAAAGGGUGCGUAGGCGGCGGGGCAAGUCUGAUGUGAAAUCCCGGGGCUCAACCCCGGAACUGCAUUGGAUACUGCUCUGCUUGAGCACUGGAGAGGAGACUGGAAUUUACGGUGUAGCAGUGAAAUGCGUAGAUAUCGUAAGGAAGACCAGUGGCGAAGGCGAGUCUCUGGGCCGAUACUGACGCUGAGGAGCGAAAGCGUGGGGAGCGAACAGG
This 253-nucleotide ribosomal RNA is filed under the name uncultured bacterium. RNAcentral describes it as "partial 16S ribosomal RNA". It matches the Rfam family "Bacterial small subunit ribosomal RNA", at positions 524 to 776 of the family's 1533-position model. The record is from RNAcentral.